RNAcentral lists this transfer RNA (72 nucleotides) under Candidatus Nomurabacteria bacterium. RNAcentral describes it as "tRNA-His". It matches the Rfam family "tRNA". Rfam says of the family: Transfer RNA (tRNA) molecules are approximately 80 nucleotides in length. Their secondary structure includes four short double-helical elements and three loops (D, anti-codon, and T loops). The record is from RNAcentral. Lineage: Bacteria; Candidatus Nomuraibacteriota.
GUGGCUAUGGUAUAACGGUUAUUACUCCGGUUUGUGGUACCGGCAAUUCGGGUUCGAUUCCCGAUAGUCACC